RNAcentral lists this ribosomal RNA (253 nucleotides) under uncultured bacterium. Its description in RNAcentral is "partial 16S ribosomal RNA". It matches the Rfam family "Bacterial small subunit ribosomal RNA", at positions 524 to 776 of the family's 1533-position model. The record is from RNAcentral.
UACGAAGGGGGCUAGCGUUGUUCGGAAUUACUGGGCGUAAAGGGCGCGUAGGCGGACGCGCAAGUCAGGGGUGAAAUCCCGGGGCUCAACCUCGGAAUUGCCUUUGAGACUGCGUAUCUUGAGGACGGGAGAGGGUCGUGGAAUUCCCAGUGUAGAGGUGAAAUUCGUAGAUAUUGGGAAGAACACCGGUGGCGAAGGCGGCGACCUGGACCGUAUCUGACGCUGAGGCGCGAAAGCCAGGGGAGCGAACGGG